Molecule: microRNA precursor, 85 nt
Filed under: Bombyx mori (domestic silkworm)
Lineage: Eukaryota; Metazoa; Arthropoda; Insecta; Lepidoptera; Bombycidae
Description: mir-2807 microRNA precursor family
Rfam family: mir-2807 microRNA precursor family
Source: Rfam by way of RNAcentral
UUCUGUGGAGUUUGUAUGGAGUUGGAACAGAUACCCUUCGUUUGCCGCUAGGGGCGCUGUUUCAACUCCAUACAAAUUUGAGUUA